GAUGAACGCUGGCGGCGUGCCUAAUACAUGCAAGUCGAGCGAACAGACGAGGAGCUUGCUCCUCUGACGUUAGCGGCGGACGGGUGAGUAACACGUGGAUAACCUACCUAUAAGACUGGGAUAACUUCGGGAAACCGGAGCUAAUACCGGAUAAUAUAUUGAACCGCAUGGUUCAAUAGUGAAAGACGGUUUUGCUGUCACUUAUAGAUGGAUCCGCGCCGCAUUAGCUAGUUGGUAAGGUAACGGCUUACCAAGGCAACGAUGCGUAGCCGACCUGAGAGGGUGAUCGGCCACACUGGAACUGGGACACGGUCCAGACUCCAACGGGAGGCAGCAGUAGGGAAUCUUCCGAAAUGGGCGAAAGCCUGACGGAGCAACGCCGCGUGAGUAAUGAAGGUCUUCGGAUCGUAAAACUCUGUUAUUAGGGAAGAACAAAUGUGUAAGUAACUAUGCACGUCUUGACGGUACCUAAUCAGAAAGCCACGGCUAACUACGUG
This 497-nucleotide ribosomal RNA is filed under the name uncultured bacterium. RNAcentral describes it as "partial 16S ribosomal RNA". It matches the Rfam family "Bacterial small subunit ribosomal RNA", at positions 28 to 507 of the family's 1533-position model. The record is from RNAcentral.